CGUAGGGUGCGAGCGUUAUUCGGAAUUAUUGGGCGUAAAGGGCGCGUAGGCGGCCCUGCAAGUCAAAGGUGAAAUCCCUCGGCUCAACUGAGGAACUGCCUUUGAAACUGCAGGGCUUGAGUCCGGGAGGGGGUAGCGGAAUUCCCAGUGUAGCGGUGAAAUGCGUAGAUAUUGGGAGGAACACCAGUGGCGAAGGCGGCUACCUGGACCGGAACUGACGCUGAUGCGCGAAAGCGUGGGUAGCAAACAGGAUUAGAUACCCUGGUAGUCCACGCUGUAAACGAUGGGUGCUCGGUGUCGCGGGUAUCGACCCCUGCGGUGCCUUAGCCAACGCGUUAAGCACCCCGCCUGGGGAGUACGGUCACAAGGCUG
RNAcentral lists this ribosomal RNA (372 nucleotides) under uncultured organism. RNAcentral describes it as "bacterial SSU rRNA". It matches the Rfam family "Bacterial small subunit ribosomal RNA", at positions 526 to 896 of the family's 1533-position model. The record is from RNAcentral.